GAAAUGCGAUACCUAGUGUGAAUUGCAGAAUUCCGUGAAUCAUCGAGUUUUUGAACGCAAGUUGCGCCCGAGGCUCGUCUGAGGGCAUGCCUGCCUGAGCGUCCAU
Molecule: ribosomal RNA, 106 nt
Filed under: Colura inflata
Lineage: Eukaryota; Viridiplantae; Streptophyta; Jungermanniopsida; Porellales; Lejeuneaceae
Description: partial 5.8S ribosomal RNA
Rfam family: 5.8S ribosomal RNA
About the family: 5.8S ribosomal RNA (5.8S rRNA) is a component of the large subunit of the eukaryotic ribosome.
Source: RNAcentral